RNAcentral lists this non-coding RNA (46 nucleotides) under Schistosoma margrebowiei. The record is from RNAcentral. Lineage: Eukaryota; Metazoa; Platyhelminthes; Trematoda; Strigeidida; Schistosomatidae.
AUCUAACUGACGAGUCCCAAAUAGGACAAAAACGCACUUCUUACAU